ACGACCUUACUUGAACAGGAUCUGUUCUAUAGGCUCGUACCUCUGUAUCUUUGACUUCUAAAGAGACAGGAAACUAAGUCUGGUGGAUGAACCAUGGCUGCUCGACCAGAGCGUGAUUAACAGACUCGUUGGCUCGGGCCAGUUGACUCAGUAGAGGAUCGUUCUCGGUUAGCUUCGACUGGCUGGGACGCUCGAGCAGCUAUCUGACAGACU
Molecule: small nucleolar RNA, 213 nt
Filed under: Erythranthe guttata (spotted monkey flower)
Lineage: Eukaryota; Viridiplantae; Streptophyta; Magnoliopsida; Lamiales; Phrymaceae
Description: Mimulus guttatus (spotted monkey flower) Plant small nucleolar RNA U3
Rfam family: Plant small nucleolar RNA U3
About the family: Small nucleolar RNAs (snoRNAs) are involved in the processing and modification of rRNA in the nucleolus.
Source: Rfam by way of RNAcentral